ACGUAGGUGGCGAGCGUUAUCCGGAUUUAUUGGGCGUAAAGCGUGCGCAGACGGUUUACUAAGUCUAAGAUGAAAGCCCGAAGCUUAACUUCGGAUUGUUUUAGAAACUGGUAGGCUUGAGUAUAGUAGAGGCAAAUGGAAUUUCUAGUGUAGCGGUAAAAUGUGUAGAUAUUAGAAGGAACACCAGUGGCGAAAGCGAUUUGCUAGGCUAUUACUGACGUUCAUGCACGAAAGCGUGGGGAGCAAAUAG
Molecule: ribosomal RNA, 250 nt
Filed under: uncultured prokaryote
Description: partial 16S rRNA
Rfam family: Bacterial small subunit ribosomal RNA
Source: RNAcentral